AUCAAGAUUUCUACGGCGCACGCCCACACGCCCGUCAUCUAGCAUGCACGUCACCUCAACAUCAAUUACAUAGCAUGUAAUUCGGGGUUUCAUACCCUCAAAAUCAAGUUUAGAAGUGUUACUUACCUCAAACUAUGAAAACUCUACUCCAACAAGCCCUUGCCUCGCGAAACAGCCUCCAAAUGCCUCGAAUCUAGCCACAAUCAGUUCAAUACAAUCACUAUGAGCUAAAUGAAUCAAUUCCAUAAGAAAAUACUAAGUUCUUAAUCAAAAGUCAACUCAAAAGUCGGUCCUCGAGCCCACAUCCCAAAACCUGAUAAAAGUGACAAAAUCCAGAAACCCAUUAAACCACGAGUCCAACAAUACCAAAUUUAUCAAAAUCCAACAACAACUCCCAAUUUAAACUUUGAAAAUCCCUAGCCUCAAACUCCCAAAUUACACCUCAAAACCACACAAUCUAGGUGGGAAAUUCAAUGGGGAAAUAUAAUUACUGAAGAAAUUUGACCACAAGUGACUUAUCUCAAGAAUCCAUUCAAAAUUCCUCUCAAAAAUUGCCUAAGCCUGAGCUUGAAAUGUCCAAAAUGAUGAAAAUCACGGAACCCUCGAUUUUAAUACACUGCCCCAGCCUUUUCGCUUCUGCGGAUAACUGCGAUUCAGCUUUUGCGAAAUUUCCUCCGCUUCUGCGGACAUGCCUCACAGGGCACCCUUCGCUUUGUCGUGCCCCCUUUUUCCUUCCACGGAAUCGGGUUCAUAACAUUUGGUUGGGAAAAUGCUUUCCUUUUGGGAAAAGGGUUUUGCAAUUUUGAAGAGUCGCCACCUAACGAUUUUAAGGUGCGUUAGGACACUUAUAAGGUUCAUUCAUAACAACAUUUGGUAACCAGAGAUAGGAUAAGGGCUUGAAAUUAUCCUAAGGGAACGAUGUUAUGCACCCCUCAGGAUCCAAUAGUGUGGUUCCCGGCCAGACAAUUUUUGUGAAUUUGUGCAAUUAGCAAAUAAACAAGUAUGGCUCAAAUAGUAGGGGGUUUAAGUUUAAAUACACAAGUGUUUGAAAAUAAUUAGUAAAAGGUGAAAUUUUGAAAAGAAUUACAAUCUAAAGCAUGCUUGUGAAUGUAAAGGGGUGUCCUAGGUUUGUUUGUAAUAUGAAUCACAUCAAUGCAAUACCGGUAUGACACUCCUCAAAGAGGGGCUACACAUGGUAUUAGCGCACUGGUCAUUAUAUCCAUAUAUACCCUUUUCUGCCCUGUGAAGGUAAUUAAAGCAAGGGUUGGUCUCGGCCCCUAUUACAUGCUGUUACACGUCCCUUGCUAUCAGUCCCGGAGGAAUUUAGGACUUCUAUCCUAUGAGGGAGGUACUAGGUAGACCCUCAGGUUUAAAAGCAUAAUGCUAGGCGACAAACAAGAACACAUAGGACUGCAUUUAAAGGGAGCAUGGAAGACAAACGAAAGGCUCAAAUAUACCUAUACAUACAGUGCAUAUGAACAACAUGACUCAUACAUAGAUAAGGUCUGAAUUCAGAAUUCUAAAGCAUGGUAUCUAAGUGAUAACAACAGAACCAGAUUUAUUGCAUGACUCAGAAAAGAAGUCUGAAUCAGGCUUGCCUACUAAUUUUAGCAUGCUGGCAACUAAACAAGGACAAUUCUGUUUUUAUUUAAGCAAUUACCUAAGGCUUGCCAGGCGUAAAGCAAUAUGCAGCAGUUAUUCAGAAUUAUUAAAAUAGUUUGGAGAUGGUUUUUACCUAAGAGAAUGAUGUUCUAAUUGAUACGAAUGCAGAGAUUAUUUAUUCAGAAAACAUAACGAUGUGAGAUUAUUUUUAUUACCUUUUCAUGAAUCAGUAAUUAAUAGGAUCCUAUCAUAUCUAAUAUGCAUAUGCGAAUGACAUGAUGGUAAAAAAAACAGAAUCCCUAAGGCAUGAUUUCUAAAUGCACACAAGAGUUGCAGAAUUAUUGAAAUAUGACUUCUGAAAGUACAAGAGUAACAACUUUUAUGCCAAUAUUGUUAUUGUCCUAGGAGCAGGAUUUCUAAGUGAUGGACAUAAAACAUGGAUUAGUGAUGGAUGAGAUGCUGAAGCAAGAAACAUGGGUCCUAAGAUCAUGAUUUGUAAUGCAUGUAUGAACCUAAGCAUGAUUGCUAUUGCGCAAUUAGGAAUAUAAACCUAACAACAUGUUUUCUAUCCUUUAACAACUAUAGCAUGCAUAUUUACCCCAUCCAUUUUCACUAGCCAACCCCAAUACUUGUUAACAAAUUACUACAGACCAACCUUGAAAUGAAAUACAUAAGUAGCAAUGAAAAUAAGAAGUUACACUAUAGGAAGCCUGAUUAGGACUUCCUCUCUGAGUUAUGUAAUCAAUCACCUCAAGUGCCAAGGUUGUUUCAUAGCUUUUCCUCAUAUCUAGGUAUGUUAGAGUUCCCUAAGGAUCUCAAGGGAUCCCGGGUAGUGCUCACACCCAGAAUGCAUAACCAAGAUAGAGUAAGUGUAGUGUGGAAAGGCCAGCUUUUAUGUGUCCAAGUUCAGAGGGAGCUCAAGGGUUCCAAGGCAAGGCUCACACAAAAGGGGCAGAACCUAGUGGUCUAAGAAUAUAUGUGAGAGUGCUUGACAUAGAUUUAAAAGAGUUGAGCUGGAAAACAGUUUUGAAAUAACAUGUUUGAAAUAAGUUUGCAAAACAACAGAACAAUUUUGAAAAUGAGAAGGGAAUAAGAGCAACAAUACCUUGGAACCAGCCAGCACACACACAAAACAAGGUCAAAUAAUAGUACAGUUUCAGAAGUUACAAACAAGGAAGUAGGGGUUGGGGACAUAGAGAGCCCAUAUCAGACAUAAAGCAUGGAUGAGAAGAGAUGCAUAUAGACCAGCAAGUUCAAAGAACAAGUAGGGACUGAUUGGCCUUUAGAACACAAACAGUUACUUCAAAGAGUUAACAAGGGAAUCAUACUUAGAAUUAGAAUAGUAAUAGGACAUAGGAACCGGGUAUGGGAGUAUUCAUGUAGGGGUCUAUUGCACAUAAUUAGUCAUGCCUUAGUGUUAAUCAAGUACAUUAGGAGACAUACUGGUUGAGGGACAUAAAUAGGAACUCAAGUAGACAUGCUGAUUACAUUUGAAUAAGAGAGGGCAGAACUUAAGCAUGCUAAAUAAAGUAGUAAAUAAGAAGUGCAAUUAAACAACAUGAGACAUUAGGUCAGUGCAACGAGAGAUAUGGAUUGACGAACAAUGGAGCACAUAGAGUUGAGUUUCAGAAUUGAACUAGGAAUAUACCAGUUAAAGAAGUAAAGUGUAGAAAAGUAAAGCAAGUAGAGUUCCACAGUCUAGCCUUGGCUUUCAGCCGGCUAGACAAGCAAUAGCACAAGUAGUAGAGAAAGAAGAGAGAGAGUUUGAGUGUGUAUGUGUGUGUUCUUAACUAAUUGUUUGUGUCUUAUGCUAAAGAGAGGGUAAAGUAUUUAUAAAUUGAGAACAGGCAGGAAAAUAAGCUAAUAAGUACCGACUUAGCAUUAUUAUAGAAAUAAUAAUUAGAAUCAAUUAAAGACCCGAACUCUCUUCAAUUAGGGAGUUAUAGUUCAAACGGGUACAAGUUGUAUCAAGUAGAGAAAAGAACUGAUUUUAUCAUAAUAGGAGUAGUAAAAACAUGCAGCAUGUAAUAAGGACUAAGUACGAAAUAUUUUCAAGUAAGGAAAGUAUAUUAACAACAUAUUGUACAUCUAAAUAAGGUAGAGCACAAUUUCAAUUUUGAAAGUCAGUUCAAAGAAUCACGGAUGAGAUGGAAAAUCACAGGGAAUCAGCACUAACUAAGGAAAGUGUCACAAAAAAUAAGGAAGCAAUUUCGAAAAAUCAGUAUAGAAUUACAAGGAAAUACACAAAAUCACAGAUGUAGGUUUAAGGAGAUUACACAAAAUCAAUAUAAUUAUGUUAACAAUCAAUAAAAUAAAUAGUCAGACCUAUUAAACAAUAAAUAACACGUGUUUGGACAAAAUCAAAGAAAUCUUAAGAACAAAUUAGAGCAGGAAGCACAAGAGCAUAUAGAACACACAUGAAGCCUAGAAUGUUCAUGAUAGUCAAGCAAACACAUCGCAAACAGACUCAAAAUUCGAAUCGAACCCAGAAGUAUUAGGGUUUCUUGACAAAAAUGAACGAGCAAAAAGGAAAGACUCAGGUGAUGUUUAAACAUGCUAAAAAUCAAAGUAAUUGCUAAAAUAAGAAAGAAAUUGUUUUUGCAAAAAGGGUUUUGAAACCCUAGUUUAGAAAAUGAAGAAAUUGUUUGAAAUCGGAGAAAUAUUUUGAGGAAAACAGGUGAAAACCUUAAAAAAACCUUAGAUCCAUCACAGAUCUAAAAAGAUCAGAGGAUUUAUAGCUAGGUUUUUCAGAAAAUAUGAGAGACGAAGAAAAAAAUCGGUUAAAAACUUAUGGAUACACCUAGAUCUAAGGAAGAUCUAAAGAAAGUGAAAAAUCUCAAGUGUUAUGGUUUCAGAGAACCCAAACAAGAUGAGAGGACUUUAAAAUGUUACCGGUUUUGGCCAGAAAAGUCAUGGAUAGGAGUUGAACAAGAUCUGGAACUAGAUCACUUCGAGAUAUUUCCACGAAAUCACAAAAACGAGAAAUCGGGAGACGUAGGAGACGAGUAUAUGUCUCAAAUAGCUAUGGGAAUCCAUGGAUCGAGUAAGGAUCGAAGGGAUUAGGGCUAGUUUUGGGUGGUGGAGGCUAGGGUUAUGUUUAGGUCCCAGAGAGGAUUGGAGAGGAAAGGGGAUUCUAGGGAGGCGGUUUGGUAAGAAUGAAUUAGGUUAGGGGGGUCGUUCAGG
RNAcentral lists this long non-coding RNA (4785 nucleotides) under Nicotiana tabacum (common tobacco). RNAcentral's name for it is "long non-coding RNA (NTAB_LNC011409)". Lineage: Eukaryota; Viridiplantae; Streptophyta; Magnoliopsida; Solanales; Solanaceae. The record is from RNAcentral.